This 145-nucleotide transfer RNA is filed under the name Anopheles sinensis. It matches the Rfam family "tRNA". Rfam says of the family: Transfer RNA (tRNA) molecules are approximately 80 nucleotides in length. Their secondary structure includes four short double-helical elements and three loops (D, anti-codon, and T loops). Further hydrogen bonds mediate the characteristic L-shaped molecular structure. tRNAs have two regions of fundamental functional importance: the anti-codon, which is responsible for specific mRNA codon recognition, and the 3' end, to which the tRNAs corresponding amino acid is attached (by aminoacyl-tRNA synthetases). tRNAs cope with the degeneracy of the genetic code in two manners: having more than one tRNA (with a specific anti-codon) for a particular amino acid; and 'wobble' base-pairing, i.e. permitting non-standard base-pairing at the 3rd anti-codon position. Lineage: Eukaryota; Metazoa; Arthropoda; Insecta; Diptera; Culicidae. The record is from Rfam by way of RNAcentral.
CCUUCGAUAGCUCAGUUGGUAGAGCGGUGGACUGUAGAGAAUGAGCGAACGAAGAAAGUGCAACGUGAUGCGAUCUCACGGAACGGGGUGGUGCAUUCGUGCUGUAGAAAUCCAUAGGUCACUGGUUCAAAUCCGGUUCGAAGGA